This 342-nucleotide long non-coding RNA is filed under the name Homo sapiens (human). RNAcentral's name for it is "HSALNT0343707". The record is from RNAcentral. Lineage: Eukaryota; Metazoa; Chordata; Mammalia; Primates; Hominidae.
CGCUUGAACCUGGGAGGCAGAGGUCCAAGUAAACCGCUAGCUUGUUGCACCGUGGAGGCCACAGGAGCAGAAACAUGGAAUGCCAGACGCUGGGGAUGCUGGUACAAGUUGUGGGACUGCAUGCUACUGUCUAGAGCUUGUCUCAAUGGAUCUAGAACUUCAUCGCCCUCUGAUCGCCGAUCACCUCUGAGACCCACCUUGCUCAUGAACAAAAUGCCCAUGUUGGUCCUCUGCCCUGGACCUGUGACAUUCUGGACUAUUUCUGUGUUUAUUUGUGGCCGAGUGUAACAACCAUAUAAUAAAUCACCUCUUCCGCGGUUUUAGCUGAAGAAUUAAAAAAAA